GAUGAACGCUGGCGGCGUGCCUAAUACAUGCAAGUCGAGCGAACGGACGAGAAGCUUGCUUCUCUGAUGUUAGCGGCGGACGGGUGAGUAACACGUGGAUAACCUACCUAUAAGACUGGGAUAACUUCGGGAAACCGGAGCUAAUACCGGAUGAUAUUUUGAACCGCAUGGUUCAAAAGUGAAAGACGGUCUUGCUGGCACUUAUAGAUGGAUCCGCGCUGCAUUAGCUAGUUGGCAAGGUAACGGCUUACCAAGGCAACGAUGCAUAGCCGACCUGAGAGGGUGAUCGGCCACACUGGAACUGAGACACGGUCCAGACUCCUACGGGAGGCAGCAGUAGGGAAUCUUCCGCAAUGGGCGAAAGCCUGACGGAGCAACGCCGCGUGAGUGAUGAAGGUCUUCGGAUCGUAAAACUCUGUUAUUAGGGAAGAACAUAUGUGUAAGUAACUGUGCACAUCUUGACGGUACCUAAUCAGAAAGCCACGGCUAACUACGUG
Molecule: ribosomal RNA, 497 nt
Filed under: uncultured bacterium
Lineage: Bacteria
Description: partial 16S ribosomal RNA
Rfam family: Bacterial small subunit ribosomal RNA
Source: RNAcentral